CCUACGGGAGGCAGCAGUGAGGAAUAUUGGUCAAUGGGCUUACGCCUGAACCAGCCAAGUCGCGUGAGGGAAGACUGCCCUAUGGGUUGUAAACCUCUUUUGUCAGGGAGCAAUUGGCCCUACGUGUAGCGUUAUCGAGAGUACCUAAAGAAAAAGCAUCGGCUAACUCAGUGCCAGCAGCCGCGGUAAUACGGAGGAUGCGAGCGUUAUCAGGAUUGAGUGGGUUUAAAGGGUGCGUAGGCGGAAUGCCACGUCAGCGGUAAAUUCGCGGGGCUCAACCUGGCUCCGCCGUUGAAACUGGCGUUCUUGAGGGGGGGAGAAGUAGGAGGAAUGAGUGGUGUAGGGGUGAAAUGCA
RNAcentral lists this ribosomal RNA (355 nucleotides) under uncultured bacterium. RNAcentral's name for it is "partial 16S ribosomal RNA". It matches the Rfam family "Bacterial small subunit ribosomal RNA", at positions 338 to 690 of the family's 1533-position model. The record is from RNAcentral.